Molecule: ribosomal RNA, 780 nt
Filed under: Arthrobacter psychrolactophilus
Lineage: Bacteria; Bacillati; Actinomycetota; Actinomycetes; Micrococcales; Micrococcaceae
Description: bacterial SSU rRNA
Rfam family: Bacterial small subunit ribosomal RNA
Source: RNAcentral
CGUGCUUAACACAUGCAAGUCGAACGAUGAUCCCUAGCUUGCUGGGGGGAUUAGUGGCGAACGGGUGAGUAACACGUGAGUAACCUGCCCUUAACUCUGGGAUAAGCCUGGGAAACUGGGUCUAAUACUGGAUAUUGACUUUUCACCGCAUGGUGGUUGGUUGAAAGAUUUAUUGGUUUUGGAUGGACUCGCGGCCUAUCAGCUUGUUGGUGAGGUAAUGGCUCACCAAGGCGACGACGGGUAGCCGGCCUGAGAGGGUGACCGGCCACACUGGGACUGAGACACGGCCCAGACUCCUACGGGAGGCAGCAGUGGGGAAUAUUGCACAAUGGGCGAAAGCCUGAUGCAGCGACGCCGCGUGAGGGAUGACGGCCUUCGGGUUGUAAACCUCUUUCAGUAGGGAACAAGGCCAGUGUUUAGUUGGUUGAGGGUACCUGCAGAAGAAGCGCCGGCUAACUACGUGCCAGCAGCCGCGGUAAUACGUAGGGCGCAAGCGUUAUCCGGAAUUAUUGGGCGUAAAGAGCUCGUAGGCGGUUUGUCGCGUCUGCCGUGAAAGUCCGGGGCUCAACUCCGGAUCUGCGGUGGGUACGGGCAGACUAGAGUGAUGUAGGGGAGACUGGAAUUCCUGGUGUAGCGGUGAAAUGCGCAGAUAUCAGGAGGAACACCGAUGGCGAAGGCAGGUCUCUGGGCAUUAACUGACGCUGAGGAGCGAAAGCAUGGGGAGCGAACAGGAUUAGAUACCCUGGUAGUCCAUGCCGUAAACGUUGGGCACUAGGUGUG